Molecule: transfer RNA, 75 nt
Filed under: Flavobacteriia bacterium
Lineage: Bacteria; Pseudomonadati; Bacteroidota; Flavobacteriia
Description: tRNA-Asn
Source: RNAcentral
UGAUUUCUAUUGUUUGGUUUAAAAUUAUGACUGUUAAUCAGAGGGUCGCUGGUUCAAGUCCAGCAGGAGGAGCCA